UAUNGGACAAUGGGGGGAACCCUGAUCCAGCNACACCGCGUGAGUGAAGAAGUAUCUCGGUAUGUAAAGCUCUAUCAGCAGGGAAGAAGAAAUGACGGUACCUGAGUAAGAAGCCCCGGCUAACUACGUUCCAGCAGCCGCGGUAAUACGUAGGGGGCAAGCGUUAUCCGGAAUUACUGGGGGUAAAGGGAGCGUAGACGGUGAUGUAAGUCUGGAGUGGAAAGCGGGGGCCCAACCCCCGGACUGCUCUGGAAACUAUGUGACUGGAGUGCAGGAGAGGUGAGCGGAAUUCCUAGUGUAGCGGUGAAAUGCGUAGAUAUUAGGAGGAACACCAGCGGCGAAGGCGGCUCACUGGACUGUAACUGACGUUGAGGCUCGGAAGCGUGGGGAGCAAACAGG
RNAcentral lists this ribosomal RNA (399 nucleotides) under uncultured bacterium. RNAcentral's name for it is "bacterial SSU rRNA". It matches the Rfam family "Bacterial small subunit ribosomal RNA", at positions 362 to 776 of the family's 1533-position model. The record is from RNAcentral.